AUUGAACGCUGGCGGCAUGCUUUACACAUGCAAGUCGAACGGUAACAGGCCUUCGGGUGCUGACGAGUGGCGAGCGGGUGCGUAAUGCAUCGGAACGUACCCAGAGGUGGGGGAUAACGCAGCGAAAGCUGUGCUAAUACCGCAUGUGAUCUGAGGAUGAAAGCGGGGGACCGAGCAGCAAUGUUUGGCCUCGCGCCUUUGGAGCGGCCGAUGUCGGAUUAGCUAGUUGGUGGGGUAAAGGCCUACCAAGGCGACGAUCCGUAGCUGGUCUGAGAGGACGACCAGCCACACUGGGACUGAGACACGGCCCAGACUCCUACGGGAGGCAGCAGUAGGGAAUUUUGGACAAUGGGCGCAAGCCUGAUCCAGCAAUGCCGCGUGCGGGAAGAAGGCCUUCGGGUUGUAAAACGCUUUUGGCAGGAACGAAACGGUGUCCGCUAAUACCGGGCGCUAAUGACGGUACCUGCAGAAUAAGCACCGGCUAACUACGUG
Molecule: ribosomal RNA, 492 nt
Filed under: uncultured bacterium
Lineage: Bacteria
Description: partial 16S ribosomal RNA
Rfam family: Bacterial small subunit ribosomal RNA
Source: RNAcentral